GUAGUCAUAUGCUUGUCUCAAAGAUUAAGCCAUGCAUGUCUAAGUAUAAGCAAUUUGUACGGUGAAACUGCGAAUGGCUCAUUAAAUCAGUUAUAGUUUAUUUGAUAGUACCUUACUACAUGGAUACCUGUGGUAAUUCUAGAACUAAUGCAUGCUUAAAACCCCGACUUCGGAAGGGGUGUAUUUAUUAGAUAAAAAACCAAUGCCCUCCGGGGCUCCUUGGUGAAUCAUAAUAACUUAUCGAAUCGCAUGGCCUUGCGCUGGCGAUGGUUCAUUCAAAUUUCUGCCCUAUCAACUUUCGAUGGUAGGAUAGUGGCCUACCAUGGUGGCAACGGGUAACGGGGAAU
RNAcentral lists this ribosomal RNA (347 nucleotides) under uncultured fungus. RNAcentral's name for it is "SSU rRNA". It matches the Rfam family "Eukaryotic small subunit ribosomal RNA", at positions 20 to 370 of the family's 1831-position model. The record is from RNAcentral. Lineage: Eukaryota; Fungi.